CUUUGCCUGGGAUUAUUAGAUUUGUUUGUAUUAGACUCGCCUUCAUGCCGUCUGUCAUCGGAGUAGUGGCCGUCAUUCUCUUCAUUCUCUACGUCGUAUUGCCCUUAAUAUUUCGGUAUUCUCCGGCUUUCCAGAGACAACUUGUGUUCUUGCCCUACACCAUUGGUUUACGAUGGCCGAUCGCAGUGAAUUACAGCCAACCUGAGCUUCUCGGAUUGAGUGGGACGAGGAAUUUUUACAUGCCCACAGAGCCGAAAAUAUCCGUGGGUGUUUGGCACAUUCUACCGGAAAACUUGACUGACAAAUCUUUCAAAACCACCGAAGAGAGUUUAGCUUGCGGAAAUCCGGUCGUACUUUACUUGCACGGUAAUUCCGGCUCAAGAGCCACUGGCCAUCGUGUGGAACUCUACAAACUUCUCAAAUCUCUUAAUUAUCACGUGAUGUCUUUCGAUUACCGAGGAUUCGCAGAUUCGUCCAAUGUCGUAAUGUCAGAAAACGGAGCCGUCACGGACGCCACUCGAGUUUACCAAUACAUUCGAAAAUUCUCCGGGAAAUCAAAAGUGAUUGUGUGGGGCCAUUCGCUCGGUACCGCAGUGGGCACCAAGAUGGUAGCCCAAUUGUGCGCAGUCAACCAGCCACCUGACGGUUUGAUUUUAGAAUCGCCGUUCAACAAUAUCAGCGACGUGUUUCGAAAUCACCCGCUAACUCUCCUCUAUCGGCCAUUGUCCGUCGUCGACCGGUUUUUCACCGAGAGGCUGCAAAGUAACAACGUGGCGUUUGACAGCGACGUUCACAUCGCCGGCGUCGAGUGCCCCACCCUUAUCCUCCAUGCAAAGGAUGAUCCUAUUGUGCCCGUUUUCCUAACCAAAAAGGUAUGCGCUGGAACAUUCCACCGGCGGGGCUGAAAUCCCGGCCUGCUGAAUGGUCUCCAUUACAGAUGGUCGAAUUCCACGAGGACCUGAACUGCGCCCAUGAAUACAUUUGCCGAGUUCCUCAAUUGCCUUCCAUUAUAGAGGAGUUUCUCGCCGGAUGAAUAUAAAGGAUUUGUUCGUA
This 1053-nucleotide unclassified non-coding RNA is filed under the name Daphnia pulex (common water flea). RNAcentral describes it as "lysophosphatidylserine lipase ABHD12-like, transcript variant X2". The record is from RNAcentral. Lineage: Eukaryota; Metazoa; Arthropoda; Branchiopoda; Diplostraca; Daphniidae.